AUCUUUGCGCUGGGGCAUUAUUCAGUACAAUGAGGUCCCGGCCGAGUAUGAAUUAUUGCUAGUUGAAAACUAUACCAAUGCUCUUUAACUUUGGCCUCGUGCCGGUUAAGAAUUUCUGACUUGGGUGCUUGCACC
This 135-nucleotide small nuclear RNA is filed under the name Aureococcus anophagefferens. Its description in RNAcentral is "U4 spliceosomal RNA". It matches the Rfam family "U4 spliceosomal RNA". From Rfam's summary of the family: U4 small nuclear RNA (U4 snRNA) is a component of the major U2-dependent spliceosome. The structure of U4 snRNA from yeast and human has been reported. U4 snRNA presents a k-turn RNA motif in the 5p-SL related to recognition of Snu13 protein. Lineage: Eukaryota; Pelagophyceae; Pelagomonadales; Pelagomonadaceae. The record is from Rfam by way of RNAcentral.